GUGCCAGCCGCCGCGGUAAUACGUAGGUGGCAAGCGUUGUCCGGAUUUAUUGGGCGUAAAGCGAGCGCAGGCGGUUCUUUAAGUCUGAUGUGAAAGCCCCCGGCUCAACCGGGGAGGGUCAUUGGAAACUGGGGAACUUGAGUGCAGAAGAGGAGAGUGGAAUUCCAUGUGUAGCGGUGAAAUGCGUAGAUAUAUGGAGGAACACCAGUGGCGAAAGCGGCUCUCUGGUCUGUAACUGACGCUGAGGUUCGAAAGCGUGGGUAGCAAACAGGAUUAGAUACCCUGGUAGUCCACGCUGUAAACGAUGAAUGCUAAGUGUUGGAGGGUUUCCGCCCUUCAGUGCCGCAGCAAACGCAUUAAGCAUUCCGCCUGGGGAGUACGACCGCAAGGUUGAAACUCAAAGGAAUUGACGGGGCCCGCACAAGCGGUGGAGCAUGUGGUUUAAUUCGAAGCAACGCGAAGAACCUUACCAAGGUCUGACAUCUUCUGAUAACCUAAGAGAUUAGGUCGUUCCCGUUCGGGGACAGAAUGACAGGUGG
This 539-nucleotide ribosomal RNA is filed under the name uncultured Enterococcus sp. Its description in RNAcentral is "bacterial SSU rRNA". It matches the Rfam family "Bacterial small subunit ribosomal RNA", at positions 505 to 1041 of the family's 1533-position model. Lineage: Bacteria; Bacillati; Bacillota; Bacilli; Lactobacillales; Enterococcaceae. The record is from RNAcentral.